Molecule: ribosomal RNA, 371 nt
Filed under: uncultured bacterium
Lineage: Bacteria
Description: bacterial SSU rRNA
Rfam family: Bacterial small subunit ribosomal RNA
Source: RNAcentral
GUAGGUGGCAAGCGUUGUCCAGAUUUACUGGGCGUAAAGAGCGCGCAGGCGGUCGUACAAGUCGCGUGUGAAAGCCCCCGGCUCAACUGGGGAGGGUCACGCGAUACUGUUCGACUCGAAGGCAGGAGAGGGAAGCGGAAUUCCCGGUGUAGUGGUGAAAUGCGUAGAUAUCGGGAGGAACACCAGUGGCGAAGGCGGCUUCCUGGCCUGUUCUUGACGCUGAGGCGCGAAAGCUAGGGGAGCAAACGGGAUUAGACACCCCGGUAGUCCUAGCCGUAAACGAUGGACACUAGGUGUUGGUGGUAUCAACCCCGCCAGUGCCGAAGCUAACGCAUUAAGUGUCCCGCCUGGGGAGUACGGUCGCAAGGGUA